Molecule: ribosomal RNA, 442 nt
Filed under: uncultured bacterium
Lineage: Bacteria
Description: partial 16S ribosomal RNA
Rfam family: Bacterial small subunit ribosomal RNA
Source: RNAcentral
CCUACGGGGGGCAGCAGUAGGGAAUCUUUCACAAUGGGCGAAAGCCUGAUGGAGCAACGCCGCGUGCAGGAUGAAGGCCUUCGGGUUGUAAACUGCUUUUAUAAGCGAGAAAUAUGAUGGUAACUUAUGAAUAAGGAUCGGCUAACUACGUGCCAGCAGCCGCGGUCAUACGUAGGAUCCGAGCAUUAUCCGGAGGGACUGGGUGUAAAGAGUUGCGUAGGUGGCAUAAUAAGUAGCUAGUGAAAACUGGUGGAUCAAACAUUCAGACUAUUAGCGAAACUGUUAAGCUCGAGACCGUUAGAGGUAAGUGGAAUUUCUAGUGUAGGGGUGAAAUGCGUAGAGAUUAGGAGGAACACCAAUGGCGUAGGCAGGUUACUGGGACGGUUCUGACGCUAAGGCACGAAAGCGUAGGGAGCAAACGGGAUUAGAUACCCCAGUAGUC